RNAcentral lists this ribosomal RNA (465 nucleotides) under Vreelandella stevensii. RNAcentral describes it as "partial 16S ribosomal RNA". It matches the Rfam family "Bacterial small subunit ribosomal RNA", at positions 338 to 795 of the family's 1533-position model. Lineage: Bacteria; Pseudomonadati; Pseudomonadota; Gammaproteobacteria; Oceanospirillales; Halomonadaceae. The record is from RNAcentral.
CCUACUUUCUUCCUCAGUGGGGAAUAUUGGACAAUGGGGGGAACCCUGAUCCAGCCAUGCCGCGUGUGUGAAGAAGGCCCUCGGGUUGUAAAGCACUUUCAGUGAGGAAGAACGCCUGGUGGUUAAUACCCAUCAGGAAAGACAUCACUCACAGAAGAAGCACCGGCUAACUCCGUGCCAGCAGCCGCGGUAAUACGGAGGGUGCGAGCGUUAAUCGGAAUUACUGGGCGUAAAGCGCGCGUAGGUGGCUUGAUAAGCCGGUUGUGAAAGCCCCGGGCUCAACCUGGGAACGGCAUCCGGAACUGUCAAGCUAGAGUGCAGGAGAGGAAGGUAGAAUUCCCGGUGUAGCGGUGAAAUGCGUAGAGAUCGGGAGGAAUACCAGUGGCGAAGGCGGCCUUCUGGACUGACACUGACACUGAGGUGCGAAAGCGUGGGUAGCAAACAGGAUUAGAUACCCUUGUAGUC